Molecule: ribosomal RNA, 253 nt
Filed under: Rheinheimera aquimaris
Lineage: Bacteria; Pseudomonadati; Pseudomonadota; Gammaproteobacteria; Chromatiales; Chromatiaceae
Also listed under: 1 other name
Description: partial 16S ribosomal RNA
Rfam family: Bacterial small subunit ribosomal RNA
Source: RNAcentral
UACGGAGGGUGCAAGCGUUAAUCGGAAUUACUGGGCGUAAAGCGCACGUAGGCGGUGUGUUAAGUUGGAUGUGAAAGCCCCGGGCUCAACCUGGGAAUUGCAUUCAAAACUGGCACGCUAGAGUAUGUGAGAGGGGGGUAGAAUUCCAAGUGUAGCGGUGAAAUGCGUAGAGAUUUGGAGGAAUACCAGUGGCGAAGGCGGCCCCCUGGCACAAUACUGACGCUCAGGUGCGAAAGCGUGGGGAGCAAACAGG